GACGAACGCUGGCGGCGUGCUUAACACAUGCAAGUCGAACGGAAAGGCCCUGCUUUUGUGGGGUGCUCGAGUGGCGAACGGGUGAGUAACACGUGAGUAACCUGCCCUUGACUUUGGGAUAACUUCAGGAAACUGGGGCUAAUACCGGAUAGGAGCUCCUGCUGCAUGGUGGGGGUUGGAAAGUUUCGGCGGUUGGGGAUGGACUCGCGGCUUAUCAGCUUGUUGGUGGGGUAGUGGCUUACCAAGGCUUUGACGGGUAGCCGGCCUGAGAGGGUGACCGGCCACAUUGGGACUGAGAUACGGCCCAGACUCCUACGGGAGGCAGCAGUGGGGAAUAUUGCACAAUGGGCGGAAGCCUGAUGCAGCAACGCCGCGUGCGGGAUGACGGCCUUCGGGCUGUAAACCGCUUUCGCCUGUGACGAAGCGUGAGUGACGGUAAUGGGUAAAGAAGCACCGGCUAACUACGUGCCAGCAGCCGCGGUGAUACGUAGGGUGCGAGCGUUGUCCGGAUUUAUUGGGCGUAAAGGGCUCGUAGGUGGUUGAUCGCGUCGGAAGUGUAAUCUUGGGGCUUAACCCUGAGCGUGCUUUCGAUACGGGUUGACUUGAGGAAGGUAGGGGAGAAUGGAAUUCCUGGUGGAGCGGUGGAAUGCGCAGAUAUCAGGAGGAACACCAGUGGCGAAGGCGGUUCUCUGGGCCUUUCCUGACGCUGAGGAGCGAAAGCGUGGGGAGCGAACAGGCUUAGAUACCCUGGUAGUCCACGCUGUAAACGGUGGGUACUAGGUGUGGGGUCCAUUCCACGGGUUCCGUGCCGUAGCUAACGCUUUAAGUACCCCGCCUGGGGAGUACGGCCGCAAGGCUAAAACUCAAAGGAAUUGACGGGGCCCCGCACAAGCGGCGGAGCAUGCGGAUUAAUUCGAUGCAACGCGUAGAACCUUACCUGGGUUUGACAUGGAUCGGGAGCGCUCAGAGAUGGGUGUGCCUCUUUUGGGGUCGGUUCACAGGUGGUGCAUGGCUGCCGUCAGCUCGUGUCGUGAGAUGUUGGGUUAAGUCCCGCAACGAGCGCAACCCUUGUUCACUGUUGCCAGCACGUUAUGGUGGGGACUCAGUGGAGACCGCCGGGGUCAACUCGGAGGAAGGUGGGGAUGACGUCAAGUCAUCAUGCCCCUUAUGUCCAGGGCUUCACGCAUGCUACAAUGGCUGGUACAGAGAGUGGCGAGCCUGUGAGGGUGAGCGAAUCUCGGAAAGCCGGUCUCAGUUCGGAUUGGGGUCUGCAACUCGACCUCAUGAAGUCGGAGUCGCUAGUAAUCGCAGAUCAGCAACGCUGCGGUGAAUACGUUCCCGGGGCU
RNAcentral lists this ribosomal RNA (1346 nucleotides) under uncultured bacterium. Its description in RNAcentral is "bacterial SSU rRNA". It matches the Rfam family "Bacterial small subunit ribosomal RNA", at positions 28 to 1381 of the family's 1533-position model. The record is from RNAcentral.